GAUCUUAUCUUGCUUCCCUUUCCACGAUUUUGUUUUCCGUUGUCCCAUUUAACUCUGGUUUCGAUAAUGGGUGAAUCAAGAUCACACAGAAAGUAUGGUAAUUAAUAAAAUUAAAUUAAUUAUUAAUUUAAAUUAAAUAGCAAGAGCUAUGGUUCAAAGCGUGUAAAUCCUCAUCCGGUUCGUUUCCUGUUCUUGUUUUGUCCAGCUUGGCAGCAGACUGAACAGUGUGUUCAAAAGUCCCGGUCACCCCCGAAGUGGAAGAAAUGUGCGAGGAGCGGAUUGCCGGCUGGUCGGAGACAUUGGUUCACAUCUAUGAAAAGUAUUACGAGGUAAAAAAGAUGGAAAGAUCGUAUUUAUGGUGGCAAAAACAGAUAGCCCAGCGCAUCCUGCCGGCCAACCUGCCGACGAAAUUCCGGGCACUGCUUGAUGUUCCUGAUUUUCCCUUUCCGGAAUACUUGUCUGAAGAAAAGAAAGAGCGGCACGAAAGUCUUAAAUGGGGAUUUUUAAUGGAUGUUAUUACCAGCCAUUGCGACAAUAUUCAGGCGGCACUGAAAGCUCUUGCGGCCGAAGAAGUGAAUAUUACAAGCGCGGCAGAAAAGCACUUGCGUCGUGGGGAAAUACUGGAAUUGAAAAUUAAAUGUCAAAAACUUGCUAUGUUCCCUUUUUAGAAUUGAUGACCUCAAGCGAAAGAACAGGUACAAAAAAAUGGAUCGUUGAAUACUGCUCCGAUGCUAGCCGUUUAAAUUUUCUUAAUCAUUUUCGUUUUGUACAGACGUCUGAAUUACGAGUCCAUUAAAUAAGCAGUACCAUACCGGCUUUGCGUAAUACUUUUCUGUGCUCCGUUGUAUUUCUUAAUGACCCAAAAAUUGAUAUUAAACAU
This is an RNA transcript of Paramacrobiotus metropolitanus, 880 nucleotides long. RefSeq lists it as uncharacterized. NCBI's taxonomy places the organism in Eukaryota, Metazoa, Tardigrada, Eutardigrada, Parachela, Macrobiotidae. The transcript has 2 exons. The record is from RefSeq and is a predicted model, not a curated record.